AGUGAACGCUGGCGGUAGGCCUAACACAUGCAAGUCGAACGGCAGCACAGUAAGAGCUUGCUCUUACGGGUGGCGAGUGGCGGACGGGUGAGGAAUACAUCGGAAUCUACUUUUUCGUGGGGGAUAACGUAGGGACACUUACGCUAAUACCGCAUACGACCUACGGGUGAAAGCAGGGGAUCUUCGGACCUUGCGCGAUUGAAUGAGCCGAUGUCGGAUUAGCGAGUUGGCGGGGUAAAGGCCCACCAAGGCGACGAUCCGUAGCUGGUCUGAGAGGAUGAUCAACCACACUGGAACUGAGACACGGUCCAGACUCCUACGGGAGGCAGCAGUGGGGAAUAUUGGACAAUGGGCGCAAGCCUGAUCCAGCCAUACCGCGUGGGUGAAGAAGGCCUUCGGGUUGUAAAGCCCUUUUGUUGGGAAAGAAAAGCAGCAGGUUAAUACCCCGCUGUUCUGACGGUACCCAAAGAAUAAGCACCGGCUAACUUCGUG
RNAcentral lists this ribosomal RNA (492 nucleotides) under uncultured bacterium. RNAcentral describes it as "partial 16S ribosomal RNA". It matches the Rfam family "Bacterial small subunit ribosomal RNA", at positions 29 to 507 of the family's 1533-position model. The record is from RNAcentral.